Molecule: long non-coding RNA, 43725 nt
Filed under: Vitis vinifera (wine grape)
Lineage: Eukaryota; Viridiplantae; Streptophyta; Magnoliopsida; Vitales; Vitaceae
Description: long non-coding RNA (VVIN_LNC005735)
Source: RNAcentral
CAUACAAACCUUGGGAAAUCGGGCCAUUAGGUUACUUGAACCCAGAAGAAAAUACGAUAAAAUACCAAUGUUAUGCUUAGGAAAGAAAGGAAAAGAAAAAAAGAAGGUGACAAGAGUUGAGGAGAAGCAGACCUGGCCAGAGUGGGGGAGCAUCAGCAUACCAUCCAGGAAUUGCAGACGAGAAACAAACAUCCCCAUUGCUGCUGUUCUCAGUUUCAGGAGGCAAUAAAGAAACUGAUGAGACAAUGGUGUUUCCAUGCUCAGCCAUAACCCCAUCUCCCACUGUCUCCUUUCUAUGCAAAUUUGCAUGGAACUCAGGUGAACCAUUCCCAUUAGCCUUGAAUUCAGCAGAGGCAACACCAUUACCAUUUGCCUUAGCCAUGAAUACAGCGGAGACAACACCACUAACUUUGGCCAUGACCUUUCUCUCUCUCUCUCUCUCUCUUUCUUUCUCAACCUUUACUCCUCUCAGUAGGAAAAUCUCGGCUGAAACGUGCCCUGAAAAGAUCAGGAUUGAUUUGGGCAAUAAAUAGGCUAUCUUUUUGGACACGAGUAAUAGAGGAAGUGGACCUUCAAGCUCAGUGUUGUCUGCCAAGUUGCAAGCUUAAAGGGUCAAACUUCUUUUACCUCAACACAAUUUCAAGUUUGAUUUCAAUUUUAGUAUAGUAAUUUGAGUAUGUUAAAGCUGUACUUUGAGUAAUAUCUGGUUGGUGGAUUCUGUCUUCUCAAGAGAUAAGAUUACCCUCAUCUCAUGUAUGAUUAAACCUACCUCAUGUAUGAUUAAACCUACCAAUUCACCUCUUAAUAAAUUCUAUGAAGUGUGGAUGAUAUCUUCUUAUAUAAAAAGGGUUGUUAUAUUUAGAUUUAUUUUUAUUUAAAUACAUGGAUGAAAAAAAAAGUAAGUUAUAGUCUAUUUGACCGUAUGAUUUAAAAAUAUAUUCUUUUUAAAUAGAAAAUUGUUUUUAAAAACUUUUAACAUUAUUUGACCAUUGUUUUUUAAAAACAAUUUUUAAGAAAUAAGUAGAAGUUGUUUUCACCGGUUUUUAAAAACAAAAGGAAAACAUAAGUCAUUUACCAUGUUUUCUUAAACUUAUUUUUAAAAAUCAUUUUUAAGUUAAAAAAAUAAAAAAAAAUAGUAUCUAAAAAUAAAUUUCACAAAACAUGGCAAAACGGGCCCCUAAUUAUUUUAAUUUUUUUAAUCAUCACUUUCCUCUUAUAUAUAUCUUGUACUUUUACCAUUAUAUUAUUUUAAAAAUAAAUUAUUUUUACCUUUUCCUUCCCUUCCACACAUGAUUCAUGUUUUUUCUACUAUUAUUACUCAAAAACUUAACAAUUCGAUUUCAAUGUUAUUCAUCAUAUUGUUUGUCACAUUCAAAAAAGGCAGAGGUAAAAAAAAAAAAAAAAAAAAAAUUGAAGAAGAAAACCUAAAGUUUAUACUCGACUCUCUCUUGAAUACGACAUUCUUGAAUCACUUGAAAAUUUUAAAGAAAAAUUAAAAGUAUCAAUAUAAUGUUGAUCGAACCCCAAAAUUUAGUUUAAAGGUUGAUCGAAAACCUUUUUCCUUUCAUUCAAGACUACUUAUGCCUUCAAAUCAACGACCAAAAAUUGGCCCUCCCAAUUCUCAAAAAGUUCAUUCAUAGCUUUCACAUUAAGAUAAAAUAAAAGAACAAGGUGACAAAAACAGAAAGGUAAAAAAGGAAAAAGAAAACUUCAAAGUUAUGACCAAAUAUAGUAUUCUUCAAUCACAAAGAAGAUUUAAUAGAAGCUUCCAUAAAAAUAAUUUCACAUAGCUUGGGUCAUAAAUUUGCAAUAGUAUUUGAAUCACAAGCUUGAGUAAGAGGGGCUUGUUGUAUUUCAAUUGAGAGCAAGUAUUCAGAUGGACCACUUGUGCCUCCAAAUCAAGGACCAAAAAAUUUCAAAUUUUCCUACCAAAGAAGCCAUCCAUUGAACUUGCUUGGCUUUAAAUGCACUAAACCACAAGAGGGCCAAGUGCAAAGAAACAUGGUAGGUGGAAUUUUGCAUUCAUUUUUAUCUAGGGUUUCAGUGAGACAUAUUAUUAUUAUUGUUAUUAUAGUAAGAACCCGUGACUCAAAUCAAAUUAUUUGUGACCUUUUUCUUCAAUGGUGAGAUAAUUUAAUUGGUCCAGAGAAUCAGGAUGCCCAAUGCCCAUUCCCACUCAAACAAUGUGAUUUGUGUUAGAGACGAGUUUUCAACUGUCUAAUAAUCACUGAGUGGUGUCGCCAAGUGUGAAAAGCCACUGAAUUUUCUUCAAAUUUGGUUCAUUUCAAGUUUCAAGUAAUGGGGUUCAUCAUUUGAUUUGGAUUUCCAACUUGUCUUAUUAUAACUUUCCAAAUGGCAUCUCCAAAAGAUGAGAUUUCAGGUGGUCUUAAAGAUCAAACCAAGUGUUUUUUUCACACACAAAGGGGUUUGUAAAAGGUCCAUUACUGCGCAUUUGUUUCUUCUCAAUGCCAGUGUGAACGCGUACAUUUGAAUAGAAAUAAAUUAAAAGAUUAAGCUAAGUCAUUUGGAUUUCAAACCUUACAUUAAAACAUACUAUUUUAACCUUUUACAUCUGGUCCGCACACGAUAUUAUGAAAUUACGAUCAUAUUUAAAAUGUUAGAAUCUAAAAGAGGAAAUCUCAUUUUCGGUAAGAAUUUAAUUUAUCUUUUCUACAUCAUCAUUUAUACUUUUAUUUUCGUUCUCUCAAUUUUUUUUAUAUUUGAAUCAUAAUGAAUUAAAAUAUUAAACUAUGAAUAGGGUCAUUUGGAUUUUUAACUUUACAUUAGAGCAUACAACUUUAACCUUUUACAUUUGGUCCGUACACGAUAUCAUAAAAUUACGAUCAUAUUUAAAAUGUUAGAAUCAAAAAGGGGAAAUCUCAUUCUCGAUAAGUAUUUCAUUUCUCUUUUCUACAUCAUCAUUUAUACUUUCAUUCUUGUUCUCUCAAUUUUUCUUAUAUUUGAAUCAUAAUAAAUUAAAAUAUGAAAAUAUGAAUAAGGUCAUUUGGAUUUCAAACUUUAUAUAAAAGCAAACAACUUUAACAUGUUACAUUUGGUUCACACACGGUAUCAUAAAAUUACGAUCAUAUUUAAAAUGUUAGAAUCAGAAACGGGAAAUCUCAUUUUUGGUAAGAGUUUCAUUUAUCUUUUCUACAUCAUCAUUUAUACUUUCAUUCACAUUCUAUUUAUAUUUUUAUUCCUAUAUACCAAAUAAUCUUUAAAAAGACUUAAAUUUAAUUGAUGUUGAUCAAAUAGAAAAAUGGAUUUCUAUAUUAAUACUAUUAACAAAAUUUUACUUUUUCACAAAUUUGAUUGCAAUUUUACAUGUUAAUUAAAAUGGAAAUAGAAGUAAGACAUCUAAAUAUUUAGUUUUCAUGAUUUAUUGUGUUUGAAUAAUUUAUUAGAAAUGAUAAUAUGAAUAAAAAAUAUUCAUUAUCAAGGGAGUUAAGAUUAGCUUGUUGUAAUUUUAUCAUAAAGGUUUAAGCUUAUUUUAUUUUAUUUUUAUAAUUGUCGUGACUCUUUUAAAGCUAUGUAUCGUAUUUAUCUGAAAAAUCAUAGUCGAGUAAGGUAAAAUUGGGGUGAAUGAGUGUAAUUAAAAAUUAUAAAAUAAGGAUUGAGAAUUAAUAACCCAAUUUAAAUAGGAAGUAGAGUUUUAAACCUAAUUAAAUUUGCAAGAUAUUAAAGAUUAACAGAAUUCAAUGUAAGUCACUUUAUAAUUUUUUUUAAAAAAUAUAAGAUAAUUGAAACAAAAUUGUCAACAUACAAUAUCGACUCAUUAUCUUAAUACUAUCAAUUCUAAGUCAUUUGAAAAUGUAAAUCAAAUGUUUUUGGAUUCAAAAAAUUAAUUCAUUUGAGAACAUCAAUUUGCUAAUCCUAUUUAUUCCUUAAUUCAAUAAAACUUAUUUGAAAUGUCUUCUUAUUUAUAUUUUUAUUAAAAGAAAAUUUUGGUGGCAAAAAUAUUUAUUGAAUAUCUUAUUGCUUUAGAACCAUCAUUUCACCCUUUUGAAAAUAUUAUUUUGAUCAAUUAAAAUAUAUAUAUAAAAUUUAAGUUUCAUUUUAUACUUAAUAAAUAUUUAUCUAACAAUAAACUCAUUUCAUCAUUCAUAUAUUGAUAUUUUAUGAUUUAAUUAUAAUAAAUACUAAUAGAAAAUAAAUAAAAAGAAAAAUAAAAUUUAGGGAUAGAAUAGUUUAGGAUUAACAUAUAGAAUAAUAAUUGAUUUUCUUAAAUACAUUUUUAGAUAAAAUACUUUUACUUUACAGGGUUUGAUCAAAACAUUAUCAAAUAUAUCUUGCGAUUGUAAUUAAGAUCCUAAUUGAAAAUUUUAAAUAAAUAAAAAAGUGGAACUUACAUAAUCAAAUGUUACUUUCAUAUUUUAAUGAUUCAUAUUAUAAUAUUAAAAAAUAUUUUUUACAAAUAAAUUUUAAAAGUUUGGUUAUGAUAUCGAAUGUAAUUUUUUAAUAUUUAUUGAAAAGAUUGAAUACUUUUUUUUUUAUAUCAUUUUUUUAUCAUUAUAUCUUUUUUUAUUUGUUUGUAUUCUUAUUGAAUAGUUUAAAUCUUAUUACACAUUCAAUAGAUAGAAAAUAUUAUUUGAUUAUUACCAUUAUAGUACCUUAGCAUUUUUGAGCCGACAUCAACUCGCUUUAGUAUCUUUUUAUAUCUUGAUUUGAUUUAUUGGUAAUUAAUGUCAUUAAGGACUUAAUUUUUUUUACCUUAAUUUAUCCGAUACCUGAAUCAAAGAGUUGGUAGAUAUACGAAACCCUAGCAUUCUCCGAUGGCAACGGUUAUUAGAGCCAAUGAUUUCUGGGUCAUUUAACUGACAACGACAGUGACAAUGACCAAAUGUCAGAGACCACAAAGUCACGUGAACCCUUUGCAUUCAUGUCUGAAUCCUACGUUACCAAACACAACUGCCACUCAUGUACACACAACUGCCAAACAUUAAAGUUUUCAAUUUUUAUAAAAUACUAAAUAUAUAAUAAUAAAAUAAUUCUUUUACCUCAUUAAAUAAAAAAAGAAAAAAAAGAAAAAAAGACAUUCGAGUCGUGGGUGUUAUUUCCCAUUUUGGAAAUUUAAAAUUUAAAAUUAAAAAAUUAAAAAUAAAAUUGGGGUGAUCGAUGUUUAGGGCACCUAAGUGGUGGAAGGUUGUACAGAGCAAAGAAGCAAGGAAAUAAAACGUGCCCAAUAUCAUUCACCUACCAAGCGCGAAGGGCUUUUAAUUUUCUCCUCCGACAUGAAAGCACUUUACCUUUUAAGACUUUUUCAGGAGAGGAAUCUUACCUUUAUUUUGCGAACAUGCGGUAUCACAAAUUUAACUUAUACAAACUAUGGGCUAUCUCAUCUUCUGACAACCAUGUGGAAUGUAAAAAUUAUUGUACUCCAUGAAAAGCUCCACCUUUUGCGGCUCUUAAAAAAAAAUUCUUGUAAGGGUUUGAUUGUGAUAUCAAAUUGAUAUACUUUGAGACACAAUCAAUCAACAAAGUCUUACAAUUUUUUUUUUGAGAGGUUAGUAAUACAUUGAAUUUUCACCUAGAAUGUUUUUGGAACAUUUUUUGGUUUUUAUUUGGAUCCACGUGUUGCCUAUUGAUCGCUUGGGAUUAUAAUUGUUUAUAAUAAAAUAAUAUUAUUUGAAAUUUUGUUAUUGCGUCAUCAAGAACACAGUCAUAUAACUGUGUUAUUGUGAAAAUGACUAUAUGGUUGUAUUAUCAAGAACAUAACCAUUAUAAGAUUAACUUGUGUUGGUAUUGUAAGACAGUUACCCUUUGGCUAAUUAUGGUGCCCACUUCGGUAUUAGAUCACAAAAACAAUUGAUCAAAUGUUAUAUAUAUUGAUAAUUGAUUAAUUAGGUUUUACUGUGUUUGCAUUUAAGUAUUUUUGUUUUUUUUUUUGUAUUAUAUCUCCAUUCUAUUUUUUAUUUUUUAUUUUUAUCUUGAUCUUAUUAUUUGUAUCAAAUCAUUUUUUUGGUACAUUGAUUUUAUUAUUUGUAUUUUUAUUUAUUAACCAAGAUUUGAUUAUGCAUGUUCGAUAACUAGAAUUACAUGUUAAGUAGAUGCCAUUUCGAUACUCUAAAAUUUAGAGAAAAUUUAAAAAAUUUCUAGAUAAUUUGAUUGAAUUAAUAAAAUGGGAGAUCUGAUUGAUGAGAGUGAAUAAAAUUGAAUGAAAUAAUCAUGUAAAGAAGAAAAAGAAGUUUUCAUUGGCAUAAUAGAGUAAAAAUAGGCUUCAAAUACAUUGAAUAGCAAAAGUCGGAUGAAAAUAAUACACAUACAGUAAAAAAAAAAAAAAAAAAGGGAAAAUAAAAGUAAAAAAAUAAAGAUUGAAAAUAAUAAUAAUAAAAAUAAAAAGAUGGCCCAUGAGACCAUUUAUGGCAAAUGAAGUAGGUUAAGAAAGUACCCAAAAUACAAAAGAGGAUAGUAGAAUUGUUUUUUUACCACCGGUAAAUGUUUCUUUUAUAUCCGACAACCCACAUUUAAUACUGUUUUUUUUUUAAUUUAAUUUCAAAUAGAACUUAAUUUUGGCAUAAUUCUAAAUAUAACUUAAAAUUAAAUAGUACUUAAUAGUGUUAAUUAAUAUGUUACUGAUAAUAUUAAUAUUUAUUUAUUUUAUUCAAUAAAAAAUUAAGAAAGUAAUAAGUCAACAAAAAAAUUAAAAAAACACGAACACCAUCUUAUAUUUAUUUCAUUUUUCAACUUAUUUUUUCCUUGUGAAUUAUAAUUUUUAAUCUAUUUCCUUUAUGGAUGAGGAGUAGUGUGAAUUUAAUUCACCAUCUUUUUCUAGGAAAUUGAAUUUUAUAGAUGAGUGGGCCCAUGGUCCAAAAGUCCACAAGAAUUUAAAGUUUCAUAUUUUAAACUUUUGAAAUGUGUAACACAUAAAAUGGUCCUAUUUUGGAUAGAGCCUCUAUCCAUGCCCACCACCUUUUGAUCCACGCAUUCCAUGCUCAAACCCUUCUGUUGAACGAACAAUUAAUAUAAAAUAUAAGGAUAUUAUUAUUGUCUAAAUAAAGAAAAAUAAUAAAAGAUAAAGUCGAAAUUAGUGGAGUGAGGAACAUUAUUUAUAUAUAUAUAUAUAUAUAUAUAUAUAUAUAUAUGGAAUAAAAGCACAAUCACAAGAUUCACUACUUUGAACAAAUUUAUAACAUGGCUUGAAAGCAAGAACUGUUCACAUCAUAAAGUUUAGAGAAGCCCGAACUAUCGUUUUUCUCCCCACUUGGCCUCUUUGAGGCCCGGGCAUAAGCACUCUACCUGGCAUCCUUCCCCUUCUUUGCCAAGAGUGACGAAUUCAGUCUAGGCUGAGCUCAAUCUUCCCUGCCUGCAAGAAAAGUAGUGGUUGUGCAAGAGAGUGCCUCGAUGCGCCGCCAGCUAAUCGUAGACCUCCAUAGAACUGAUCCGUUCAUUACCCACUCAAUAUUUAGUGACUUGAUAAAAGAAUUGAAUUUAAUGGUGUGCUUAAAGUAAAAAAUAAUUUUAAGUGAUAGAUAAAAAUAAUUAACUUAUUCUUAAGUUCACAUCUUUAUUUUAUCUUUUUAUCUUCAUUUAUCUUAAUAAUCUUCACUAUCUUCUUUACUAUUCUAUGGCCUACAUUGUUAUUGAACCUUCUUUGCCCUAAUUAUAAUUUAUGAGGAUAUAAAUAUGUUUUUGAUAAUUUAGAAUAAUUUUAAAAUUAAUUUUAUCUGACAAUCUUAAUACUUAAAGUAAGAAUAAAGUAAUAAGUUUUAAGUUAACAACUUAAGUAUAAUUUAAACCUUAUACUAAAGGUGUCAGUAGCUUCUUCUUCUUAUUAUUUUUUAUAAUCAAGUCCAAAUAAUUUAUUUAUUUUUAAUUGAGAAUUGAACAAAUAAGCUCGUUUCUCAUCAUAAUAAUAUUAAUAUAAACUAUAGAAAUUUGGGAAUUACAUUCACAAUCCUAAUAUCUAGAGGUCAUAUUAACCAUGUUAGUAGAUUUUUAAAAAUUUUAUUAUGUGAUUAACUAUGUUAUCAACUGUUAUAUCAUGUUGAUUGUUUAAAUAAGCUUGUUUUAUAUGGAUUAUUUAGAACUCAUUUAGCAGUGAUUAUAAUUAAAGAAUUUUUUAAUUUAUUGUGCUUUUGUUAGCAGUAUUUUUUUUAUAUACAAAAAAUGUAUUUAUUAAUUAAAAGCAUUUUAAAAGAGAAUUCCUUGGUAUUUAAUUCAAAAAUUAUAAUAAUUAUAUUAUUAACUCAUUUAAUUAUACCAUGACAUUUAUGCAAAUAAACUUAAUUCUCGAAACUUCAUUGUAUGAUAGCAAAUUUUUAGAAGGGUUAAUCAAUAAUUAAUUGAGUUUGAUGAUUGAGAGUUUUGAUUUGACAUUAACUUGUUAGCACCUUGGAGUGGGCCUCAUGGAGGAUAUCUUUUUUUAAGGACAAGAAGAUUAAUGAACUGGAUUUCAUCAUAAAAAUUGUGUGACCCAAUAAUAUUUUUAGAAGCCUUUGGGCCAGACCCACUAGGUGGAUAGAGUAGGCCCAUUGUCCAAAACCCUCACCACUACCCCAACAAAGAAAAAGAGUAAAAAGUAAAUAAAAGAAAGAUAAUUCAAGGCAGCUGGAUUGGUUAUAAAUCUUAAUCAUAUAUAUAAAUUUAUAAUGCAGUAAUUUUUUAUAUAAAUAUUUUUGAAAAUUUUAAGAUAAAUUAUAGAUUGCUUCUUAAAAAUUAUAUAAAUUUAUUCAUGAUAAGAUCAUUUAGGUCAUGUUUGGUUGUACUUUCAUUUCAAAAACUUUUAACUUAAGGGCGUAUUUGGUCAUGCUUUUUGAAAUUUCAAAAACUAUUUUUUAUUUUUGAAUUUAAAAAUAAUUUUUUAAAAACAAGUUUUAGAAAACAUGGUUAGAUGAACUCAUAUUUUUCUUUUGUUUUAAAAAAUCGAUAAAAACAACUCUUACUUGUUCUCUAAAAAUUAUUCUUUAUUUUAUUUUGUUUUUAAAAAAUGACAACCAAACAAUAUUAGAAAUUUUUAAAAACAUUUUUUUGUUUUUCAAAACAAAAAACUAUUUUUAGAUUACACAGUCAAAUAGAUUCUAAUUUUGAAAAUAACAUUAGCUAACUUGUAUUUUUUUUAUUACAAUUUGAUGGGAAAUAUUUAGAAUAAUAGAGGUCAAGGAUUUUUUUUUUCAUUUUAUGCAAAAAAUAAUAUUUUACAAAGAGGAAUAAACAUAAAAUAAAAUAUAUAAAAAUCAUUUUAAAAUAUAUAUAUUUCCAAACUUUCAUUUUCACAAAGGGGAUAAAAGCAGAGGAAAAUUUCCAUCCAUAUAGAAGAGCUAAAACUAUUUGUAUAGAAAUUUUUGGGUUAAAAUUUUCAAUUGAAUUACUAAAACAACCUUGACUGGUAAGCCCAAAUGACCAAAACACCCACACUUCUCACUCCACAUUGGCCAACUACCAUUUCCAUUUCCCUUGGCCCCAAAGCCCCCAACCUUCUUCUUGGUUUCCCGUGAGUUUCUCAAAACCACCACCCUCCAACGCUCUCUCUCCUAUGGUUUUGCUAUCUUUCCACCACAACCAUCCUCCACCCUCCUUACCGCCAUGGACGAAUUGACUACAAAAGGAAGGAAUUGACUACAAAGAGACUUUUUUUCCUGUAUCUAAGAAAGAUUCUCUUUGAAUCAUUAUGACAUUAGUUGCACAUUUUGACUUAGAGUUGCAACAAAUGGAUGUGAAAACGACAUUUCUCAAUGGAAAUUUAGAGAAGAGGUUUACAUGAAGCAACCAGAAGGAUUUUCCUCUAGUGGUGGUGAGCAUUUGGUAUGCAAGCUUAAGAAAUCCAUAUAUGGAUUGAAACAAGCAUCACGUUAGUGGUAUUUGAAGUUUCAUGAUGUUAUCUCUUCAUUUGGUUUCGUGGAGAACAUUAUGGAUCAAUGUAUAUAUCAGAAAGUCAGUGGGAGUAAGAUUUGUUUCCUUGUUUUGUAUGUGGAUGACAUUUUACUUGCAACCAAUGAUAAGGCUUUGCUACAUGAGGUGAAACAGUUUCUAUCUAAAAACUUUGACAUGAAGGAUAUGGGUGAUGCAACUUAUGUCAUUGACAUUGAGAUACAUAGAGACAGAUUUUGAGGCCUUUUAGGCUUAUCUCAAGAGACCUAUAUCAACAAGGUUUUAGAGAGAUUUCAGAUGAAAGAUUGUUCACCAAGUAUAACUCCCAUUGUGAAGGGCGAUAGGUUCAAUUUGGACCAGUGCCCGAAGAAUGAUAUUGAGUAGGAACAAAUGAAGAACAUUCCUUAUGCUUUUGUUGUUGGAAGCUUGAUGUAUGCUCAAGUCUGCACAAGACCUGACAUUGCAUUUGCUGUUGGGAUGUUAGGAAGAUAUCAGAGUAAUCCAGGUAUAGACCAUUGGAAAGCUGCAAAGAAGGUGAUGAAGUACCUUCAGGGGACCAAAGACUACAUGCUUAUGUAUAGACGAAUUAAUAAUUUGGAAGUGACUGACUACUCUAAUUCAAACUACGCUGGCUGCAUUGAUUCGCAAAAAUCAACUUUAGGAUAUGUCUUUAUGCUAGCUGGUGGAACUGUUUCUUGGAGAAGCUCAAAGCAAACUUUGACUGCAACUUCCACUAUGGAGGCUGAGUUCGUGUCUUAUUUUGAGGCUACCUCGCAUGGUGUAUGGUUAAAGAGUUUCAUUUCUAGGUUUCGAAUUAUGGAUUCAAUUUCUAUGCCAUUGAAGACAUAUUGUGACAAUUCAGCUGUAGUUUUUAUGGCUAAGAACAACAAAAGUAGCAGUCAAAACAAGCACAUCGACAUCAAGUAUUUAGCCAUAAGAGUACGUGUUAAAGAGAAAAUUGUGGUUAUUGAACACGUUAGCACUGAAUUGAUGAUUGUUGAUCCUUUGACUAAAGGCAUGCCACCGUUGAAAUUUAAGAAUUAUGUAGAUAGAUUGGGACUUGGUUCCUUUGUGUGAUUUUCAUUGUAAGAGCGAAUGUUAUUUUCAGUGAAACUCUAUUUGUGAUGUUUUUCUCACAUUUGAUUUUCUUUGUGUACACUUUUAUUCAUUUAUUGAGAAAUAUCAUUAAUGUUUGGACCUAGAAUAAACAUAGGGUUUAUUCAUUAAGCUAUAUGGGCUAGUGUUUAAGAGACAUGAUGCAUUGUGAUACAUGGAAGAUAAUACUUGAUUUUAGAGCACCUAUCGUCAUGAUUCAUGUGUUUUGUUUCUUGCUAUGAUGAAUGAUGGAAUAUAUGGGCCAAGUGGGAGAAUGUUUGGAUUUUAUUUCUCCUGGAUCUUCGGUAAUAAACCGAAUACGUGAUUCGGAAUGUGGUACACAUCAUUCCAUCAAUUUAGGAACGAGGAUUCAUACUCGGAACCACGUUCGCAUCACUACCCCAUGUUUUGUGCACGCUCCAAGCAGACUCGGUGAUGGAGAGUCUUUAAAAAGAGGCAGAACACUAUCAGUUUUUUAAAAUACCAUCUAAGUGGAAGUUGAGAAAGGUUUAGAAGCACUUGAAACUUGAAAAUUGAAAAACAUGUUUUAACAUGUAGAAUGACAUUGGCGGGGAGGUGCGUUUUUGAUAUGUGAUUUAAUUGCUAUUUAAUGAUUGUUAUAGCAUGUUUAGAUUAUUUUUGUCCAUCACAACAACAUCCGCCUCUUCUUCUUCCGCCAAAAGUCUUGGUGGACCCAAGUCCUCGACCCCGGCGGCCACCUCGUCACUCAAUGGAACCACAUUUUCCUCAUCUCCUGAUUGCUAGCUCUCUUUUUGGACCCUCUCUAUUUCUAUCUUCCUGUGAUCGCCGGUCUGGCCUGUAUGCGGAUCAACCUGGGUUUGGGGAUUGUCGUCACGUUUUUUCGGACGACGGCUGAUAUGUUAUACUUGAUCCAAAUGAUCACGAAGUUUCGGGUGGCUUUUGUGGUUCCCAGCUCUCUAGUUUUUGGGAGGGGUGAGCUUGUGAUGGAUAUGCAGCAGAUUGCGCUGCGGUACUUGGAAGUCUUGACUUUAUAAUUGAUUUCGCUGCAACACUGCCUCUCCCCCCAGGUGAGCCUUGUUUCUGUGACAUACCAAACGAGAAUUUUCAUGAUUCAGUUCUUUGUUAUAUUUUCUGGAAAUUGGAACCAGAUUAAGGUUGUACUGUUUUUUUUUUCUUUUCGAGUAGACUUCAUGAUGAUUGAUAAAUAAUCAAAUUUCUAAGAACUAUUCAUGAGUCUUAUAAAAAUUCUAAGAACUAUAAAAAAAAAUUCAAGCGUCGAUCGUUAUAAUCGAAAUUAUACUUUGCUUUAGUAUUUCUCAAAUUAUUUCCAAAAUCCUUGUUGAAUUCUGUGUUGAAUUCUGUGUUGUGAUUGAUAAAUAAAAUUUUUAAGUUACAUCCAUCCUCACUCCCACUCCCUCUUCCAACCCUACUUUUUGUUUCUAAAACUCAACCUUUGAUCUUACUCAAUCCUGGAGUUUUUGUGACUUAUAUUUGUUAUUUUGCACUCUUGUAAAAAAUUUUGAUCAAUAAUUUUUCUAAGUAAAUACUUGAUUGGAAAUAUUGGUCAUUUCCUUUCAGAUCCAUUGCUAAUUUAAUUUGCAUAUAAUAUUUUUCAAUGAAACAUUGUUGAGAUGCCUUUUCUUCUUAUGCUCAGAUUAUUUCCAAUCAUUUUGUGACAUGCAGCUCAUAUGAACAUAGUGUGGUCACCAGUACUUUCACUAGUGAAAUGCAUUGGGGGGCUAGUAACAUUUUUUUAUUUUUCUCUCAAGGAUAGUACUGUUAAAUUAUUUUGUCCCGAAGUUCUUGAGAGCAGAGCCUCUUGUUCCAUAUCAACUUUGAGGGGAGCAAUAAAGGAACAAGAAAGUUUUUUGUUAUCGUUUAUAUCAUAUUUAUGUACUUAUGUUAGCUUCAGAAUGGCCUUCAUGCUAGACUAUGUAUUUUACUUUGCAACAUAGUUCGAUUUAUGAGAAUCAAAUCAAUUAGCUUAAUUUGCAAGGAAUAUUUUAAUAUUUUUGUAAAUUGCUUAAAAUGAACCCUCUGAGCUUUGUAAGCUUGCAUUCUACUAGCUGUAAUCAGAAUAUUUCAAAAAAAAAUUCUUGUUCGAUGUACCAUGACAUGUGUAUGACACAUUGGUGCAACUCUAGAAUUUGAGCAUGGUUUGUUGAGAUUGAGAAACAAUUUUCUUGUCUAACACUGUCAAGGAAGAAAAUAUCGUGUAUCGAAGGGUUUCGACACGAUAUUUCAUGGAGAAAUAUUGGUCCGGUGAUUUUUCGGGAUUAAUAUCGAGAAAUCGGCGAUUUCUUGCAAUAUAUCGGUGAUUUUGGUGAUAAAUCAAAGAUUUUUCCUAAUAUAUCGCAUAGUCAACGCGGGUCAACGAAAGUCAAACCCGCUACAGUGCUGUCAACGCGCUACAGUGAUGCUACAGUGUCCUCCCAUUUGUUGCUGCCGAGAGGAUUUGAACCUACCACCUGGGCUAACUUGCCCUUUGAUAUAUAACAUGCAAUAAAUUUAUAUAUACUUAAACUCAUUAUAUAAAGAAAAUAUAAGAAAAUUUUAAAGAGCAAAUUAAUUAUAAUUAUUUUAUAAUUAAAUGCAAAGUAUUUUAAUUAAUUACCAAAAAUAUAAAAAUUAUAUAAUUUUCUUCAUAGUGUUUUUAAUAUCAUUAAUAAUUAAUUAAAUAUUAAAAAAUUAUAUAUAUAUAUCAUAAUUUAUUUUAUAUUGUUUAAUACAAUUGAAUUAAAUGGAUCAUAUUUUAAUACUAAUAUAUAUUUUAAAAUUAAACAUAUUAUAAUCAAAUAUCAUAAUAUUAGGUGUAAUUUAAUAAUAAAUGUACACUUAUAAAAUUCAUAUUUUUAUCGAUGCAUACGAUAUUAUUAUCAAAUAUGAUAAAUCAUGUUAUACAUAUAUCAAAAUUUUCAAUAAAAUAACUUUAAAAUGUCUAUUAUACUUCUAAUUAUAUUAUUAUGAGGGUUUUCUUAUAUUUUCAUGAGUUUUUAGCAAUUUUAAGCUUACCGAUAUUUUUUUCCAAAAUAUCCGUCGAUAUAUCUCCGAUAUAUCCGAUAUAUCCGUAAAAUCGAAGUACCGAUAUAUCUGUGAUUACCGAUAUUUUCAUCCUUGAACAUUGUGACUCUGAUAACGAUUUUUGUAUCAUUAUUAUUAGUACUACUAUUACUUCUCUUAUUAUUAUUAAUAAUAUCUAAUUUUUAUUUAUGUAUAUUAUUUUGACAAAAUUUUGUUUGAAGAUCUAUCUACAAAACAUGGGAAUUAGACUUGAAGAAUGGAGAGUAAGAAGAGAUAUAGAGGAGUGGAUGAGGCAUCGUCAACUGCCUCUAGAUUUGCAAGAGCACGUUCGCUGUUUUGUUCAAUAUAAAUGGAUUGCCACAAGAAGAGUAGAUGAAGAAGCCAUUUUGUGCGCCUUACCUUUGGACAUUUGACGUGAAAUUCAAAGGCAUCUUUGUCUGGCCCUUGUCCAUUGUGUAAGUCUUUUUUAUGGCAUUUCAUUCUGUGAUCAACAUCUUUCCAGGACUCACAUGAUUUAGACCAAGGAAACAUGGUAAUUAGUCAUGCCGUUUAUUUAGUUUAACUAAAAGAUAGUCUAGAUGUCAGACAAACAUAAGCAAACUUUCUAAGUAUUAAACCAUAAAGAAUGAAAAACUUUCUAUAAGUUAUUUCUAUUAUUGAAAUCUCAGAGAAGCAUCUAAUAAUGCAAUUUUGAAACCAUUUCAAGGGAAAAUGAAUUCUUUUCAACAACAUAUUUGUUGAUGCGAGGUCAACUGGAGUCAAAUCCUUCCUUCGCUAUGCUACUGAGAGCUUCUGCCCAGCAAAUGGAAUCUGGGCAAGCUUCCUCCCUGCACAAAGGAUGUCUGGACAGGUUGUCCGGGCACGUCCCUCCGAAGCUUAAGUCAGGCUUAAUUGGAUUGGAAUCCUUUUGAGAGGGGAGUAAAAAUGGGAAAGCCCUUGUGUCGUGUACUUGGGUUCUGCUUUAGGAGGGUUUUUAUAGUGCUUAGGAGGGAGUCACUAUUGUGCUGAGUUGACACUUUGACUUUUGCUGUCAUGAUGGCAGUCUAGUAAAUGACAAGGCAAUCAUCACAGUUUGAGCGGUUGGCAGGCGUCGUCAUAGGUGUGUGAUGAUGCCACUGCUCGUCAUUUCAACCUGCUGGAGGUAUGGGGCAAUGUGUGACAGUCCACUGACAUGGACGUAAGGAUUGGAGAAGAUCCCAUCAGUCAUUCCUAUGUCAGGUGGAAAUAAUUAUAUGUAGCAAAGAGGGUUCAGAGGCUGGGUGAAGGAUGUUGCCCGUUCAGGUGAGGGUGCAUACAUGGUCCAAAUAGGAAGGUCCGGGACUUACGGCCUCUAUCCGGGCAGAAUUGAGGAUAUGCGACACGUGGUCUGACACGUGGAGGAGAGCCCCCACAAUAUUUGUAUGCAAUUUUGUAUUGCAUUAUGUGAAGAGUUCAAUGUCCAGGAAUUUUUUUCCCUUUUUUUUGUCAGGUGGGGGGUGGCAGAAUAAUUCCCUUGUCCAAGUUACAACUCAGACAAAGGACUUUCACUUUAAAUGUAGGAUAUCUGCUAAACAUUUCUAAUAUAGUACUCUACUUAGUAAAUGAAGAUGGCUUCGCAAUGGAAGAGAGGACAUUUUGAUGAUUGCACCAUGUCAUUCAGCAGCCAUACUCAACACUUGUGAUAUGAGAUAAAUUACAGUUUUCACUCCUGCACAUAUUCGCUAUCAGAAAAUUCUUAUCAAUCAUUUACACUAUUUAUGUUAUUUUGAGAAGAGAGAAAUAUUUAAAAAGGUUAGUUCUGAAUUCUAUCAAAGAAAUUUAUAUCAAAUUUAAAUUUUAAAUUUUAGGGGUAUUCAGGUUAUAUUAUUCUUCAUUAUAAAAAUGGGGUGCAUCUUAUACCAGUCAUGUAUCCAUAAAUCAAUGUUGAUGAGUGACCUCUUGAUUGUCUGAUUUUGAUAAUUAGUUUGAGACAUUAAGCUUUGCUCGAUUUAGUUAUUGGAUAUGUCUAUCAUAGGCCAAUACUUGUUGUGUAAGACACUUGAAUUUGUCUAAGAAUAUUGCCCAAUCUAAAUCCACUUGAUUGACAAAUUGUUACAUUUUCCAGGUUCCUUUCUUCUCACAAAUGGAUGAUCAGCUCUUAGAUGCCAUAUGCGAACGUCUCGUGUCAUCCUUAAGCACUCAAGAUGCAUAUAUUGUUCGGGAGGGUGAUCCAGUGAAUGAGAUGCUUUUCAUCAUUAGAGGCCAACGAGAGAGCUCAACGGCCAAUGGGGGUCAAUCAAGUUUCUUCAACUCCAUCACUCUCAGGCCUGGUGACUUCUGUGGGAAGGAGUUGUUGACUUGGGCCUUAAUGCCCACUUCAAGCCUGAAUCUACCAUCCUCAACUCGAACCAUGAAGAUGAUUACCAAAGUCGAAGCAUUUGCACUUCGAGCUGAAGACCUCAAGUUCGUGGGGAAUCAGUUUAAACGCUUCCAUAGCAAGAAACUUCAGCAUGCUUUCAGGUACUAUUCCCACCAGUCGAGGACAUGGGGAGCUUGCUUUAUACAAGUUGCAUGGAGAAGGCUUAAAAGGUGAAAGUUGGCAAAGGAGUUGGCUAGACAAGAAAGCCUCUACCACAUGCAAUUUUCAGACCAAGAAGGUUACUUUAGUGAAAUGGCAGAUGCGGAUUACCAAGCUAGCAGUGUUGAGAGCUCAUCAACGGAAAAUUCACAUGGGGGUCAUCAUAUUGGAGCCAUACUCUUAGCUUCAAGGUUUGAAAACCAAGGUCGAAGUGGUAACAUUUCCUGUCACUAGCUUGAAGAUGCCCAAACUGUUGAAACCAGAGGAGCCCGAUUUCUCCUCAGACCUCGAAAAUAGUUGACUUGUACUUGUUCAAGACCCAAAUUAGAUGCUAAAUGGAGAGAUAAUCCAAUAUUUGAUUAGCUAGAUUUCUUGUAAAAUUUAUGUAAACUCCAAUAUAUGCUAACUAUGAAUUUUUUCCCUUUUGGUCAUAUAGAUACACAAAUUUUGAACUUCAUACGUGUACCAUAAUCUAUGACAAAACUUAAUUUGAACACUGCAUUCACUGACUAGGCAUCAGUGAUCCAUUUUGUAAACCAAUGAUAUUCUUCCCUCUCAAUCUAUGUAUUACCUGAAAAUAGUGUUGACUGUGGAAUCUUUCAUUAGAAAACUCAACUCAAAUGCAAGUGCUGCUACAGAUGAACAAUUCAAGAUGAGAAUUCAUCGAAGUUUGUUGUGUCUCAAGUGCAUUAACCAUGGACUUCUGGAGACAGGUACCUGAACAGGUGGUAGAGCAUGUGAUUUAAUAGAACUUUGAGAGGAAACAGAAAAAUCAUAGUUUGCUCGCUCCCGACAAGUGGUAUAAGGCAAUCCUCAUGAAACCACCGACAGGCAUGUUGCCUACUAGCUCAUCCAUGAAUUCUGGGUCGUACCCAAAAGCCACUUUUUGUGGUGCCACAGUGAAAAAGUGACACUUGACUAAAACCGGUUAGAGUUGUCACAAUAUUCUCAUUUUUAUUCUUUCCUAUUCCAAUUGUAUACUCUUAUUUAGGUAUUUUUUGCUUUACUUUUAUCCAACCAUUUAGAUUUACACCCAUCAACAGCUCAUAUUAAAAGAUAUACCAAAAAGGCGUGAAGAGUUUUCCAUAGCAAAAGUGAAAGCUUGAAAAAAAAAGGGUCAAAACUAAUAAUAAUAAUAAUAAUAAUAAUAAUAAUAAUAAUAAUGAUAAUGAUAAUAGAUGAAGUGGAAUACUCUCUUUGCCUUUUAGGGUUUUAAGGAUUUUCAAGUCUGUGUCAAUGAAUUUAAAAGGGAUAAAGGGUUUAACAAUUGAAGCUCAUAUAAGCAUCAUUAAUGGUGUCAGUGGUACCGUAAAGCCUAGAAGGUAAUAUCACUUGAAGCUUGAUAUAUGUGAACUUUGUCCAAGUUUGCUUCACCCCACUUGGCUUAUCCAUGUUUGCAGGAUGACUCAAUGGUUGGGCCCCAGGGGAUGUGGGAAGACCUCCUUGUUAUUAACACUCUCUGGGAAUCUAGACAAGUCUGUUAAGGUUCUCUACAUUGGUCACAAAAAGAAUAUCAAAUUUAUAAGAGAAGAAAACCCACUGAACUUCUGAGUUUUCAUCCUUUGCUUACACCUGCUUUGAUAUGUACACUUGCAUUCCUACUUCUUGUAGUUCUGGACACCCCACCUGUGUGUAACAAUGAUGAAAGUUGUUUGUUUUCUCCUUGUGAAGAGACUAGGAUGGAGGUAAGCAGAAGGGAGAAGCAAACAACAAUUAUGCUAGUUCCAGAUAUAGAUACUUAUAUGAAGGUACCUUUAGCUUCUCCUAUCUGUUUUCCUUCAUUGUUUAUGGAGUACUCUAUACUUUUGCAGAAGUGAUGGAUUAUGAUGAGUUCAAAAUAUCAAGAAAUCAUGGGUAUUUUUGUAUGAAAUUCACUGGUUUUAUAAGGAAGAUGGCUCACCUAAUUGCUUUAAGAAAAAAUACCUCCAUACCAAUGUAGCUAAAACAUUAAUUAAACAUCUCUGAUCAUGUGUAUGAUGUUUGAUCAAACCAUGCAUAUGUAUUGAAAUAUAUAUUAAAAGAAAUGUCUUACUCCUUAAUAUUAUCAACCAUAUGCAUCAAAUCCUUAAUAUAAAAAUACCCCAAUAAAAGCAUAUUGGAGCAAUAUUAUUAAACAUCAAAUAUUAGUCAAACAAUACCAUACUAGUAAACCAACAAAAAUGCAUAAAAUAACGUCCGAAUGAUCAUCACCGGUAAUGUUACCCUCAAACCCUCGUCCCCGGCAUUGACAUCUUCUCAAUCCUCGCUAUCAUUUCCAUCAACUCCAUCGUCCUCCUCCCUACCAUCGUCAUCAUCUGGGUGGAGUUGGGAGAAGAGCUUGAAAAUUAAUAGUCUUUGAAGCAGUGACAGAAUGAUUUGACUAUUGACAUAAGGCUUUUAAUUGUUUUUUUUUUUUUUUCUCUUGGGUUUAAACAUAGCCUAGACAUCUUGAAUACCAGAGGCUUAUGUAGAAGACCUUUUUCCUUCUCUCUCGUUCACUCAAGAUCCAUACGUUGAAGUUAGGAGUUGCAUGCAAUUUACUACAUAUGUCCAAAAAAUUUUUUAUCAUGCAAUUUACUCAGGAUCCACAUGGACUCUAAAAGCUUCCUGAUUUUAAAAAAUGUUUUUAAUAUUUUUAAUACUUAAAAAUUUUUAUAAUUAAAAUAUUAAAAAUAUUAAAAACACUUUUUUAAAUUACUUCUAAAUAUACUAUAAAAGCAUGUUUGAAAGUGAUUUUAGUAACUAUUUCUAUCAUUUUUAAUACUUAAUAGAUAAAUUUUUUCAAGUGUUAAAAAUUAUGAAAAUAUUUUAAAAUCACUGUCAAACACACUCUAAGAAUCUUAUAAUUGUAAAAAAGAACUUAUCGUAUAAUGUUAAAGCUAGCCAAUAGAAUAAGACAAUCAAUAGUGUUGUUGUAAUUUUGUCACCUAUGGCAUGAUGCUUAAGGAGUAAAAGAGAAUGAUUUGUACCUAUUCAUUAUCCUAUGUACAUCAUUCAGGGGGUGUUUGGUACGUCGGAAUAAGGAAUAGAAAUAAUAUUUUGUUUCCUUUCCUAUUUUUUAGUGGAAUAGAAUGAAUUUGAUGAUUCCAUUUCUAGUAUUUGGAUGAACUUAGGAAUGCAAGAUUGGAAUGAUUAUUUGUUUCCAUUCCAAUGUUUGAUAACAAUAGGAAUGAAAAUGAAAAAGAAAUAAAUUUACAAUAACAUCCUUAUAUAUAAUUUAAAAUAUUUUUUUAUUUUUACUUUUAUUUUAAAAAAAUAAAAUUUGAGAGGUUUUUUGUUAUUAAAUAAUAAGACUAAAAAAUAUAUAUAUACUCAAUAAAUAAAAAAUUAACCAUAAAAAAUCGUAUAACCCUAAUGCACAAAUAUUCAAUUAUUAUUUUAAUGGUUUGUUUACCGUUAAAUAGCAAUGAUAUGAAGAGAUCUUCACUGUGGCCCAUGCUAAAGUUCCAAAAUGAGCCGGAAACGCAGUAGAUUUUCUGCGAGAUGGCAGAAUCCAUAGCUUUAACUAGGAAAGGAAGACGCUGAUAAUAAUAAACAAAGGGGGAAAAAAACCAAAAGUUUUGUUUUUGUUUGUUUUUUUCUUUUUAUUUUUUUCCUAACCAUUAAAAAUUUUCAAUAUUGUAAACACGUGAAAUCGAAAAAUCUUUUUCCAACCAUUUCAAUUUUUCUCUCUAGUUUCCAUUAAUACAAGAUAAAGAAACAUCAAAGAUUCCAAACAUAAAUUAAUAAAAAAUAAUAAUCGAUUUAUAGAGAAGAAGAAACACAUAUAAAGAAGUAGAAGAAGAAAGAGAAAAUAAGGUAAACUUGAUCGAAGAUGUAGAAGGGAGUUUUCAAAACCUAGUUGCAGCAAACAAUGACGAAUCCUAGAUCCAACAAUCAAAAUGAACAUCCAAAACCCUAUAAAUUAGAAAUUGAUUUUUUUUUUUUUUAAAUAUCAUGGAAGGUUUAAUUGAUUCAAUUUGGAAGAAUCACUUGUUGCAGAGAAUUGGAUGAUGAGUGGGUCUCUAGCUUUGCAAAGAAGAUAAGAAGUGGAUGAUGAAUGGAUCUCUACCUUUACAAAGAAGAUAAACAUCGGGUUUGAAAAACAAGGUAAGAGGGUAAAAUAGUAAUUUAGGUUAUUUUAUAUUAUCAAAUAGGUUUAAUGAAUCAGAAUACCACCUACUUUUAAUGAAUGCAAAUCCGACUCAUAAGUUGGAUUUGAUUUCUGCCGGAAUAAUUUUUUAUUUUAUUUCCGUAUUCUUAACAUUUAUCCAAACAUAGGAAUAAGGGAGAAAAGGAAUGAGAUGUCUAUUCCCACUCCCUAUUCCCGUGUACCAAACACCCCCUUAUAGUAAAAAGAAUCGAUACUAAGGUGGUAUUUAUUUUUUGACUGAAUAGAAAAAGUCAAAUAUUUUGACUUUUUCUAUUCAGUUAAAAGUAACUUGUUGACAUCAUCCAAUAUAGCUAAAAUGAACUUGUUAUCAAUAGGUAUAGUUUAGUUAUGUUGGAUGAUGUCAACAUGUUAUUUUUAGCUGAAUAGAAAAAGCCAAAUAUUUUGACUUUUUUUAUUCAGCCAAAAAACAAACACCACCUAAAUAGACAUGUAAUAAGUUACCUAUACAUUUAAUGGAAUAUAUAUCAAAGGAAAUGUUGCUUCUAUAUUAGGCAUUGUGUGCAUGCAACAAAAUAUAUGCCAAAAGCCUUCACAACACAUUCUAGGAGGGCAUGGGCAAAUAAUGUCCAUGAGUUGCCCGCUAUACCAUCCAAACAAAACAUCUAUAUACAUCGUUAAAACAUAAAAAAUGAGAAGGGUAUGGACCGACCCUCAAAGUUGUUAUUGCGAAAGCCUAAAUAGCACCUUCUAGGAGGGCACAAGUCCAUGAUAUAUUUAAAAAACAAUAAUUUAAUAUUGUUAAUUAUGUCAAGAUAUUACAUUUAAUUAUGGAAAUUAUUGAAAGAACAAUAACAAAAGUGGUUAAUAAUAUUCACAAACAACAAAUCUAAGAUACCCUUUUUAAAAAAAAAUAAAUAAAUCAAUUUGAUAUGAAAUAAAUUAUGGGUGAAUUUAUUUUAAAACUAAUUGAUUACUUAUAUGAAAUACAAACAAACAAACCCUUAAUUUAAAAUCAUUAUCAUAUUAAUUAGUGAAUUUAAAUAAGGACAAAAUAUAAAAUUAUAUAAAAUAAACCAUGCCAAAAACUAUUUUUACAAAGCAAUUGUUUACCUAUUUAAGUAAGAAAACAAACAAAAUUAAUUUAAUUUAAAAUAAUCUCGGAUUCAUUAGAUAAAUAAAUAAAGUAAAAAAAUAAAAAUAAAAAUAAUUGUGCUGAAGUUCUGGUUUUUUCACAUGAAUUACUAAAACAGCCCUGACUGGUAAGCCCAAAUGACUAAAACACCUUCGCUUCACACUCCGCAUUGGCCAACUACCAUUUCCCUUUUCCCACGUUUUUUCAGUUUCAAGCACCAACGGCCAUCAUAGGCCCAAGCCCCCCAACCUUCCUUUCGGUUUCCCGCGAAUUUCUCAAAACCACCACUCUCCAACGCUUUCUCUUUCUCUUUCUCUUCUAGGGUUUUUCCGUCUUUCCACCACUACCACCCUCCACCCUCCUUACCGCCAUGGACGAUGAAUAAUAACAUCCGCCCCUUCUCCUUUCGCCAGAAGUCCUGGUGGACCCAAAUCCUCGACCCCGGUGGCCGUCUUGUCACUCAAUGGAACCACAUUUUCCUCAUCUCCUGUUUGCUAGCUCUCUUUUUGGAUCCUCUCUAUUUCUAUCUUCCGGUGAUCGACGGCCCGGCCUGUUUUCGGAUCGACCUGGGUUUGGGGAUUGUCGUCACGUUUUUUCGGACGGUGGCUGAUAUGUUCUACCUGACCCAUAUGAUCAUGAAGUUUCGGAUGGCUUUUGUGGCUCCCAGCUCUCGGGUUUUUGGGAGGGGAGAGCUUGUGAUGGAUCCGCAGCAGAUUGCGCUGCGGUACUUGAAGUCUGACUUUAUAAUUGAUUUCGCUGCAACACUGCCUCUCCCCCAGGUGAGUCGUGUUUCUCUGACAUACCAAAGGGGAAUUUUUAUGAUUCAGUUCUUUGUUCUGUUUUCUGGAAAUUGGAACCAGAUUGGGGUUGUACUUUUUUUUUCAUUUCGAGCAGACCUCACGAUGAUAUGUCUUAAACCAUUGAAUGAAUGAAUAUUGAAGGAGACAAGUAACGAAUUCAUAUUGUGGUUCAGAGAACUCUAAUCUGUUAAUGCUAAAUGUAGACUCUGAUGUUUAUCAUCUCGAAAACGUCUCUUUUUUGGGGGUCUCUGCUACAGUUGUAGGCUUUCCAAAUUAUUUUGUGCAGUUUUUGGGUUUUUGGAGAAAUACAUUUUGUUAAACCCCUAAGACAUAAUCCAUCUCAACAUCCUAAUAUUAAUGAAGAUUUUGCUACUGAGAUGAUGCCUCUUUAUUCCUUCUUAUUUUUAGUCAUAUAGCAUGGCUGGUCUUAUGCUAUCUUAUAGUUCUCCCUCUUUGAUUUGAUAUGUAUAAUGGGAUUAAAUAACCAAAAACACUUUUCUGCUGUAAGCCCCUGGGCAACAUUUUCCUCAGAUACUCCUUGUAUCAAUGAUAAUGACAAUGACAAUUCAUGGUGCCUUCUGUUAAUCAGUCUUGACUAUCACCUUUAUCAGGGGAUUUUGUUUUCCUUGCACUUCUUUUUGUUAAACUUGAGGCUCAAGGACAUGGAAAAUUAAGUACUUAUGUCUCUUGGAUUAUAUUUGAUUAUACUUAAACUGAUCAUAGCAACCACUGUCUGAUGGUAGAUGACUGAGGCUGCCAAGCAUGAAUGUGCAAGUUUGAGUCCUGAGAGUGGUCAGUUGUGCAAAAGUGCUAGAUUGUAGGGGCAUAUCCAACUCACUUUCCCAAGACCCAGCUUUGGCAGGCCCAACACUGGGUAAUGACCUUUCUUAGUUUGAAGGAAGCUGAAAAAAAAAAUGGUGGAAUUACUGGAGCACAUGUUGACUAAUAGAAGUACAACAUGAAAAUUCAAUGCCAUGAAAAUACAUUAUAAUUCCUAGUUUUGAGUUUGUGUUAAGAAAAAUGAAUUUCAACAUUAUUUUCUUCUUGGGUUUUAUUCUUUUCUACAUUGAGCACUAAAGCAUAAUUUGGUUUUUUGAACUCGAAGGAUAUAUUGAUUUGACUUAUAUUUUGGUAAUUUUCUUUGAUUUUAAUUUAUGAACUUCCAUUUAUAUCUUGUGUCAUGCUUAAUUUGGCCAGUGAUUUGGUUCCUAACAAUUUGAAGAUGUGGGAUGUUAUCACAGCAAGUCAUUUUUAGAGUUGAUACCCUAACAUAGUAUAUCAUUGUCAUCCUCAUCAUUUUUGUUAAUAAUAUUGUUGUUGUUGUUGUUGUUGUUUUUGCAGACGGUCAUCUGGUACAUAAUUCCAGCAGUGAAAGACCCUAUAACUGAUCAUGCUAAUCAUAUUCUUUCAUUGAUUGUUCUCAUUCAAUAUAUUCCUCGAUUGUUUCUCAUUUUUCCUCUGUACCGGCGGAUUGUUAAAAUUACUGGGGUUGUGGCAAGAACUGCUUGGCUAGGGGCAGCAUACAAUCUUCUUCUCUAUAUGUUAGCAAGUCAUGUAAGGGACCAUGCUCCAUUUUCACCUACUAUCUGUUAUAUUGUUUAGUCACUCACUUUGUGGAAGGAGGGAACCUAAUGGCAACAGCAUGACCUAGUCGUUGUAAAAUUCUAGUCAAGUGCUAAUCUGUUAUUUUUGUAAAUUGUCAGUGCAGGUUUUAGGAGCUUCAUGGUAUUUGUUAUCCAUUGAGCGGCAGCACUCAUGCUGGAGCAAAGAAUGUCAGAAGGAGGCAAAUUCCAUGCAUUUCCCAACUUGUCAUUCUUCAUUUCUUGAUUGUAGCACUUUGGAGCAGCCUGACCGCCGAGUUUGGCUGAACUUCAGUCAUGUGCUCACCAAUUGUCGUCCUGAAAAUAGUAUUGGGUUUGAGUAUGGCAUGUAUUCUGAUGCUUUUAUUAAUGAAGUUGCUUCCUCAACUUUCCUUGAGAAAUACUUUUACUGCUUUUGGUGGGGUUUGAAGGGUCUAAGGUAUGGCUUAUUUGAGUUCAUAUGUUUUAUUCUAAUUGAAUCCAUACAGUUAUUUUUUGUACCCUUUUGUCCAUCUUGCAUCUUAAAGGAACUCAGAAGGGAAAAGAAUUCUCAUGCGGCAUUUAAAAAAGUGAAUUUAGUUUUAACUUAAAUAAAUCACAAAAGAAGUAUUGAUUUAUGAAUUACAUGCUUGACCCACAAGAGUCAGGCUAGAAACACUUGCGACAAUUACAUUAUAUCUGUAACUCUCACAAAUCAUUCUUAAAUCCUACACACAAACUAUUGAAGGGUUGUGAACUAUCAUGAGUCAUGCAGCUAGCAACCAUCACACAUUUUGAUCUCUUAAUGCAACAUUAAGUAGUAUUUUUUUUUUUGAUAGGUAACAUUAAGUGGUAUUUUCAACUUUUAUAAAAAUUCUGAGAACUAUAAAAAGUUCAAGCGUCAAUCAAUACAAUCAAAAUUAUAGUAUGUUUUAGUAUUUCUCAAAUUAUUUCCAAAAUCCUUGUUAAAUUCUGUGUUGUGACUGAUAGAUAAAAAUUUUUAGUUACAUCCUCUCCUGGUAAUCCCUUUGUUAUUUCUUUCCUUGAACAAUAAGGUCCUGAAUCUCAACUAUGUCACUAUGUCCUGUGAACAUGAAAUCAUACUAAAUGAAUGGUGCACUUUCUUUGUUUAAUUUUCUUAUAGAGAUUACAAACUCAUUCUUACAUUUAUGACAAUAAAAAAUUUAUUUUUUGUGUGAUCUGGCAUAUAUUUUGGGCGAUUUCUAUUCCUAAAACAUGAGCUAUCAACUCCCGUUUCUAUUCUCCCUCCCACUCCCUCUUCCAACCCUGUUUUUGUGUUUCUCAAAGUCAACAUUUUAUCUUACUCAAUCCUGGAGUUUUUGUGGCUUAAAUUUGUUAUUUUGCACUCUUAUAAAAACUAUCAAUCAAUAAUUUUUCUAAGUAAAUAUUUGAUUGGAAAUAUUGGUUAUUUUCCUUUUGGAUCCAUUACUAAUUUGCGUAUAAUAUUUUUCAAUGGAACAUUGUUGAGAUACCCUUUUCUUCUUAUGCUUAUAUGAUCUCCAAUCUUUUUGUGACAUGUAGCUCGUAUGGACAGAGUGUGGUGACAAGUACUUUCACUAGUGAAACAUUAUUUUGCAUUGUUAUUUGCAUUGGGGGUCUAGUUCUAUUCUCACAUCUCAUAGGCAACAUGCAGGUACUACUUGCGCUUUAUAUAUCUAUAUAUAUGUGUGUGUGUAAUAUGUAUGGAUAUGUAAGUUUUUUAUUUUUUCUAUUUCCAACAUAUUUCAAUGUACUCAAAAUGAUAAAAAUUGAUUUCAAAAGAAGAGGGAAUUUGAAAUUCCUUACCACUGUAGUAAAAUACUUAGAUUUUUGUGGUGCUUUUAUGCCCUUUUUUUUUUUAUUGUGGUAUCAACUUGAUUGAUGCUUGAUUAUUAUGUGCUCCUCCACAGAGAGUUCCCUGUUUGUAUGUGUAUACAUGCAUGACAAUUUUAUAUAAUAGUUACCCAUGAUUGGAACACCUCUAGUACUUCAAUUUAACAUUCAUUGAGUUUCAUAAAUUGUGAAAAAAUGUUUGUGAUAUUGUCUAGAAAAAUGUUGAUUCAUGACAUGAAAAGAAUUAGCCUUUAUUUUAAUGAAAAUCAAGCCUUGUAUAUUCUAGAGAUUUUAAGAUGAUCAAACACACCUUGGGAGGAUAUAUUGAUUGAUUUUAAGAAUUAAGACAACUCCUAUAAAGAUGAGAAGAAAAAAAAAAGAUACUCCUUUUCUCUGACACAAGAAGACAAUGGAUAUUAUUACCAUGAUCAAACUAGCAAGAAGGAUUUUAGUUCCAGAACAUGCAUUGUGAAAGUAACCUAAUAUGUGGUUGUCACCUGCCUUUAUAUUCAUGUACUAUCAUGCCAGACCUAGAAACAUUUUUUUCUGUUUCUCUCAAGGAUAUUACUGUUAAAUUGUCUUGUUCCAGAGUUGUCGAGAGUAGAGCUUUUUGCUCCAUGUCAACUUUUGAGGCCACCUAUAAAGGAGCAAGAAAGUUUUUUAUUAUUGUUUAUAUCAUGUUAUGUACUUAUGUUAGCUUCAGAAUGACCUUAAUGAAAGACUGUAUUUUACUUCACAGCAUUCCACUUACCAGAAUCAAAUCAAUUAGCUUAAUCUGCAGUAAAAUUUUAAUAUUAAUGUAAAUUGCUUAAAAUGAACCUUCUGAGCUUUGUAAGCUUGCAUUCUGCUAGCUGGAAAUCAGUAUAUUUCAAAAUAAAUUCUUGUUCGAUGUUCCAUGAUUUGUGUAUUACAUAUAGGUGCAACUCUAGAAUUUGAGCAUGGUUUACUGAGAUUGAGAAACAAUUUUCCAGUCUGUGACUCUGAUAGUGAUUUUUAUAUCAUUAUUAUUACUACUACUACUACUUCUCUUAUUAUUUAUAAUAAUAUCUAUUUUUAUUUGUGUGUAUUAUUUUGACAAAAUUUUGUUUGAAGACCUAUCUACAAAACAUGGGAAUUAGACUUGAAGAAUGGAGAAUAAGAAGAAGAGAUACAGAGGAGUGGAUGAGGCAUCGUCAACUGCCUCUAGAUUUGCAAGAGCGUGUUCGCCGUUUUGUUCAAUAUAAAUGGAUUGCCACAAGAGGAGUAGAUGAAGAAGCCAUUUUGCGUGCCUUACCUUUGGACAUCCGUCGUGAAAUUCAAAGGCAUCUUUGUUUGGCCCUUGUCCGCCGUGUAAGCCUUUUUUAUGGGAUUCCAUUCUGUGAUCAACAUCUUUCUAUGACUUGCAUGAAUUAGACCAAGGAAACAUGGUAAUUAGGCAUGCCCUUUAUUUAGUUCAACUAAAAGAUUGUCUAGAUUUCAAAAAAAUAUAAGCAAACUUUCCAAGUAUUAGACCAUAAAGGAUGAAAAACUUUCUAUGGGUUAUUUCUAGUAGCGAGUCUCACAGAAGCAUCUAAUAAACAAUCUCAAGGAAAAAGGAGUUCUACUCAACAACAUAUUUGUAUGCAAUUUUGUAUCGUACCAUGUGAAGAGUUUAACCAACUGUCCAGGAAUUUUUUCUUUUUCUUUUUUUUUUUCCAGAUGGGGGGUGGCGGAAUAAUUCCCUUGUCCAAAUUACAACUCAGACAAAGGAAUUACACCUCAAAUGUAGGAUAUGUGCUAAACAUGCCUAAUAUUGUCUACUUAGUAAUGGAGAUGGCUACCCAAUGGAAGAGAGAACAUUUUGAUGAUUAUGCCAUAUCUUGUAGCAGCCAUAACCAACACUUGUAAUAUGAGAGAAAUUAUAGUUUUGACCCAUACUCAUCUUCACUAUCAGAAAACUCUUAUCAAUCAUUUACACUAUUUAUGUUGUUCCAAGAUGAGAGAUAUUUUAAAAGGUUAGUUAUGGAUCCUAUCAAAGAAAUUUAUAUCAAAUUUAAAUUUUGAAUUUUAGGGGUAUUCAGGUUAUAUUAUUCUUGAUUGUAAAAAUAGGGUGCAUCAAGUGUCGUUUGUAAUGCUAUAUACCAGUCAUGUAUCUAUAAAUCAAUGUUGAUGAGUGACCUCUUAAUUGUCUGAUUCUGAAGAUAAUUGGUUUGAUACAUUACCCUUCCCUCGAUUUAGCUAUUGGAUAUUUCUAUCAUAGGCCAGUACUUGAUAUAUAAAACAGUUGAAAUGGUCUAAGAAUAUUGCCUAAUCUAAAUCCGCUUGAUUGACAAAUUGUUACAUUUUCCAGGUUCCUUUCUUCUCACAAAUGGAUGAUCAGCUCUUAGAUGCCAUAUGUGAACGUCUUGUGUCAUCCUUAAGCACUCAAGAUGCAUAUAUUGUUCGGGAAGGUGAUCCAGUGAAUGAGAUGUUUUUCAUCAUUAGGGGCCAACUAGAGAGCUCAACGACUAAUGGGGGUCGGUCAGGUUUCUUCAACUCCAUCACUCUCAGGCCUGGUGACUUCUGUGGGGAAGAGUUGUUGACUUGGGCCUUAAUGCCCACUUCAAGCCUAAACCUACCAUCCUCAACUCGAACCGUCAGGUCCACUACCAAAGUCGAAGCAUUUGCACUUCGAGCUGAAGACCUCAAGUUUGUGGCAAACCAGUUUAAACGCCUCCACAGCAAGAAACUUCAGCAUGCUUUCAGGUACUAUUCCCAUCAGUGGAGGACCUGGGGAGCUUGCUUUAUACAAGUUGCAUGGAGAAGGCUUAAAAGGAGAAAGCUGGCAAAGGAGUUGGCCAGACAAGAGAGCCUGUACUACAUGCAAAUUUCAGACCAAGAAGGUUACUUGAGUGAAAUGACAGAUGCAGAUUACCAAACUAGCAGUGCUGAGAUCUCAUCAAUGGAAAAUUCACAUGGGGGCCAGCAAAUUGGAGCCACAGUUUUAGCUUCAAGGUUUGCUGCAAACGCUAGAAAAGGAAUUCAACAGAAGGCCAAGUUCAAAGUGGUAACAUCUCCUGCCACUAGCUUGAAGAUGCCCAAACUGUUUAAGCCGGAGGAGCCUGAUUUCUCCUCAGACCAUGAAAAUAGUUGAGUUGUACUUGUACAAGACCCAAUUAGAUGCUUAAUGGAAAGAUAAUCCAAUGUUUGAUUAGCUAGAUUUCUUGUAAAAAUUUAUGUAAACUCUAAUAUAUGCUAACUAUGAAUUUUUUUUUCCCCUUUGGUCAUAUAGAUACACAAAUUUUUUUUUUUUGAACUGCAUUCAUUGAAUAGGCAUCAGUGAUCUAUCCUAUAAACUAGUGGUAUUCUUCCCUCUCGAUCUAUGAAUUACCUGAAAGUAGCGUUGAUUGUUGAAUCUUUCAUUAGAAAAUUUGACUCAAAUGCAAGUGCAGCUACAGAUGGACAAUUCAUGAUACAAAUUCAUCAUAGUUUGUUGGGUCUCAAGUGCAUUAACCACGGACUCAUGCAGACAGAUACCUGAACAAGUGGCGGAACAUGUGAUCUGACAGAACAGAACUCAAGUUGGAUACAGAAAAAUCACAGUUUUCUCGCCGUCGACAACUAGAACUAGACAAUCCUCGUGUAACCAUCGACAAGCAUGCGCUGCCUUGCUCAUCCCCACCCAAAAGCCACUUUUUGUGAUGCCAGUAUGAAAAAGUAGUUAGAGUUGUACAAUAUUCUCAUGUUUUUUCCUUUCCUAUUGUAUACACUCUUAUUUAGGUCUUUCUUGCUUUUACUUGUAUCCAACCAUUUAGAUUUAGACAGAUCAACUGCACAUAUUAAAAGAUGAUACCAAAAGGGUAUGAAGAGUUUUCCAUGGAAUGACAGAGGAAAUGUCUCAACCAUCUUGAUUUCAUUAGGAAACAUUGAACAUUUUAUUGCAGUUUUCUAGAAAUUGUUUUUCCUUUAUUUGGUUAGUAGCUUCAAUGCCGAGUUCUCUAGCUAGCCGUAUGCUUGUCGUAUGGUCCCCAUUUAGACUAUGUCUUUAUUGUGCUUGUCGUUUGGUCCCCAUCUAGACCAUGUCUUAUUUUAAUGACAACAAGUGAUAUGACUUCACUUUUCGGUUUCCCCCCCUUUUUUUGACCUUUUCCCCAUUUUGCAUUGCCUUGAGGAGUGGGUCGUCAACAAUAUUUCACCCAUUUACAUAUUUGAAAGCUUGGAAAAUUUAAAUUAAAAAAGUAACUUUCUAAUAAGAAAGUGAAAAUAAUAAUAAACGCAUAAGCUAGUCUUUUCAUGCGUUACCAAUAAUCCCAUUCUUAAUAUCUAUGUUUGAUUUUACUUUUUUACUUUUUAUUAUAUUUUUAUCUUUAUUCAAUUAUUUAUAUUUGAUAGUAUAUAACGAAUGAUUAAAUAUCAUAUGGUAGAUAAUUAUUGUCAAAUGAGAAUUUUUAUUUUGUUACAUGUAUUAUGUUUUUUUGAUAUGUCACAACAAAUAAAUGAUUAUUUUUCUUUUACCAAAUUCGACAUUUACAUGUACCUUUCCAUUUGGAUUAGCAAUUUUAGCAAGGAAAUGACCCCUCACCCUUAGGGGAUGGCAACAGGGUGGAUUCGAACCGGUCUUUCCAUCCAAACUCCAUUAUGUUUAUUCAAGAUAAUUUUCAUCUUUAUUCCAUUUAAAAAAUUAAAUAAGACUGGGCGGGUAUGAAAACACCCCAUUUAACUUUUUUUUCUAAAAUUUUUAAUUUAAAAAAAAUACUUUAAAAUUUUUUAAUUACAUUAAAAUAAAUAUAUUUUUAUAAAUAAUUAAAUUAUUAUAUAUAUAUUAAAAAUAAUAAAAUAAAAUUUAAUUAUAUAUAUAUAUUGGGGAUGAGACAAGACAAUACUUGAACCCAUCCCAAGUUUAAAAAAAAAUUUCAAACCUGUUUUGUUAAAAUUAAAACUCGUCUCAUUAAAGGAUGAAAUGAGACGGGUACUUGAAAACACCUGUACACCUGUUUUAUUGCCAUCUCUACCCACCCAACCAUUUGCACAUAUCUUGUGACAGCAAUCAUGAGUAUUUUCAUGGGUUGGUCCAUUUUUGUAUUUUUGGGAGUCGUUGACAUCAAUCCUGUUUCACUAGCCAAAAAAAAGAGUGAAAUACACCUCACUCUAAAGCCAAAAAUGGAAAAGUUCACACUAAAAAGGCCAAAUUCCCCUCUUAGGCCCCGACCCUUGUGAACAGCCAUAUGUUCCCUUAACUUGAACGCAAGAGAAUCAAAGAGAAAAGUGUCACAACAUUCAAUUUCAAAUGGACAUCCUAACUUCCUAUAUGAAUGAGUAAUUAUAAAGAUAUUUAAUUAAAAUUCAAGGAGUCACACCAUAUUUUAUAUUUUGAAAUAUUUAUCUGUUAUUACAACAUUUAGGUGGCAACAUGGAUGAUGGUGGUACCCUUCUAGAUGAGGCAAACUUUUAACUUUUAGUCAAGGCCAUGACGUGGGGUGUGAGUUAUGAUUUUUGACCAUGACAACAUAAGAAAAAAAAUAUAUAUAUGGGUUGGGUGAAGGAUCUUUAUUUUGAAUUUUUUUUGGUGAGCCUAGUCAAUACAUCUAAAAAAAUUGGCUAAGUUAUAUUUGAGCAAGAUAAAAAAAAAUACUGAAGUCUAAGGCACAUGCCUAUGAAAUGUUGAAAUAUUGCAUUCUUCAAAUGUAAAAGGAGAAAACAUUUUUUUUUUCUUUUUGCCCUUUCAAAGUCUUUAGUAAAGGUUUUAUACAUUCAACUAUGGUUGUUUAAAUCUCACUUUCAAAUGUUUUAUUUAAAUAUAAAAAUUUAAAAAUUUUAGGCUAUAUUUGGUUCCAAAAAAAUAUGAAUGAAAAUGUAAAGGAAAGAAAAUAUUGAUAAAAAGCCGAAAGAAAAAUAAAAAAUAAAUUUAAAGUCAAUAAAUUAUUUUAUAUACUAUUUCAAACUCAUUUCACUUAUUUUUUUCUUUUAUAUAAAUAUUAAAUAAUUUAAAUAUACAUAUAUUUAUUUAUUUUUUUAUAACUAAUUUUAAUUAUAUUUAAUUUUCUUUCAUAUUUUUUUAUAUCGAAUCCAAACAUGAAAAAAUCAUUUUUCUUAACAUUUUUUUCCUUUCCUUAAUACUUUUUGGAAACCAAACAUAACCUUAGUUUUUACUUAUAAUUUAAUAAAUAACACUUUUAUAUUGAUUUAUAUUAAAAUUUGAGAGAAAUUCAGACCAUUUUGAAUUUAGAUAAAAAAAAAUUAUCAAUUUUAUAUUUUAUUCAAGGAAAAUAUUGGUCAUAUAAUAUAUAUUUACUGUUAUUUUUAUUACCUAGCUUUUUUACUUGUAGGCUUUUAAAUUUAGAAAUUGUGAACUAAUUUUUAUUAUAUCCAAUUUUUGCUUGUUAGGGAAAAAUGAGAAUCGACAACAUGACAAAAAAAGAACACAUAGAUUUACAUGGAAAACUCUAGACGGGAAAAUGAAAAGAAAAUCUACUAUGUAAAAAAUUGGUACAAAAUGAGAGGAUAUUAACUGGCUACUGCAUAACAUGAAAUUUUAUACACCAAGAAAUCCUAUUGGCCCAAUGUAGACCCCCGGAGGCAGACAGUUUUUUUUAGUUAUUAUUAUUAUUAUUUAUUUAUUUUUAUUUUUCCUACCAUUUUCUUCCCGAGCCGCUCGACAUGAUGGGAGAGCUAGUUUUUGGGGCAGAGAGGGGACUCAAGUGGGCGGUUUUUUGGGCUGCAGAUGGGACGGGGGUACAGAGAUGGCUUGCUGAGGUAGACUGAGAACGGAGGAAAGAGAGGAAAGAGAGAAAAGAGGAAAAAGAGGAAGAGAAAGGCAGCGAUCUCCUGGCGGAUUUCAACUGGAGAGGAGUCUUUCAAGAAAACUGUAAGAGAAGAGCAAGGGAGGAAUCACUCAGGUUUGAUUAUUUCGCACCUUAGGUUCUCCAUUUUUAACUCAUUUCGUUCUAUUUUCAGCCAUACCUUAACUCUUUAUGAUUUUUUGGAGGCUUGUUCGGAUUAUUUAAUGUGUUAAAUCUGCUCCUCAUUCCAUGUAUUGCUUGGUCCCUGUUUUCCCCAUGUGAGCUGUAUGAUGACCAUGCUAUAUAUGAGCUGUGUAAUGGCUAUACCAUUUGCUUGUUCGUCAAGAUCGCUCGAAUCCUCCCACCAUUCUAUUUGAUAAGCCUUUUUUUUACCUUGGUGAAGUGGAGUCAGAUUUGAUGAUAUUAUAUUUUUAUGCACAUACUCUGCUUUUCUUCAUUUCCCCCUGUUUCUCGCCACCAUCCUUCUUCGCAGUUUCGCUUCCCGUGGCUCGCCGAUAAUCUAAUGCCUGAACAUAGUUCAUAAGAUGGAUCCGAGAGGGCGCGGAACGUGAACUGGUUUCCAGUGGCUGUCGCGGCUGCCGAGGAUGCGGACGACGGAGGAGUGUUGUCAUUUCCGAACAGCACAGUCUCAUUUUUUAGGUAGUUCUUGAAAUGUUAAUGUAAUAAUUCCCGGUCUCAUCUCUCCUCCUCCUAAAACUCUCCUUUAUUUUCCUCCAUCUGGAGGUCCUGAAAGUUUCUGCAUUAUCAAUGGAGUGCCCCAGGGGGCAUUAUUCAGUGAGAGUAUUCUUUGGACUGGUUAAUGAACCUAGUUUUGACCGGGAACCUCUAUUUGAUGUUUCUAUAGAGGGAACUCAAAUUUAUUCUUUGAGUUCAGGUUGGAGCAACAGUGAUAACGGGCAAAUAUUUGCUCAAGCCCUUUUGUUUUGAUGGCAUCUUUAAAGAAAUUGGUGAUUAAAAGUCAAAGAUAUGAGUUUUUUUAUAUCAUUUUUUAUUCUUAAUCAGUGGCAUGGUUCCAGCAGGCUUCAAAAUGGUUUUUUUAUAUUAUUUUUUCUCUUUUCUCCCACGUGUCAUCUUCUUAAUUCCACUUUACAUGUUAAAAUUUUCAUUUUUUUUUUAAAUUCCUGUUAUCAAAUAAUUCUUUUAAAAUCCCAACGUUUUAAAUUCAUUCAUUUAUUUUAUCCAUUUUAUUCAUUUAUUUUUUAUUUGUCUAUUUUUAUUUAUUUAAAAAUCUCAAUUAUUAAAAUUCAAUUUUUCAAAAAUCCGACUUCCAAAUCUAAUUUUUAAUCUAAAAAAUUCCAGUAUUCACGUUCACUCGUUUAAAUAUUAUUUCGUUAUUAUUAUCAUUAUUUCAUUUAUUUGUUUGUUUAUUUCCUUUAAAAAUUCCAAUCAUUAAAGUUUAAUUUUUCAAAAUUCUAAUUUCUUUCAAAUUUAAUUUCUAAAAAUCCGAAUUCCAAACAAACUCUAAAACUCCAAAUUUCUAGUGAUUUUCGAGAUUCCAAUUUUUCAAUUAAAUUUCAAAAAUCUAAUUUUCUCCCGAAUAGUUUUAAUUCCGCUCUGGCUUUCAAAUAAUCUUAUGCUCCUCUUGACUUUAAUAAGCAGGAACAAAUUUUCUGUAAUUCCGAAUAAUGGAAUUUAUGGGAUUAAUUCAUGCAAUAUAAAUCGGGCUUUGGUGGGGGCCCAACAUAUGUGAUUUCCUUAUGAUUGAUUGAUUGUUUGUUUGAUUUAAUUGUCAUGCAUGAUCGAUUUUAUUUUGCUCUAUGACAUGCUCGAAAUUAUUCCUUAAUUGUGCACUAACCUCACUUCUUGAUAGCGCUUUAUGGAUCACUGCCCAGGUACGCAUCCAUAUCCGCUCGGGUCAUUUUCUAUAUGCAUGUUUAGAUUCUCACAUGUGCAUGAUCACUCUGAGUAUUCAUUGAUUCCCUCAUCAAUUGUCAUGACUGCUUCAUUUUAUUAGUAGAGAUCCGACUUUAGGGACUUAGAAGGGUGCUACGGUUUUUACCGUACCUUCCCGAUAAGUAACCUGACCCCCGAACCCGAUCCGGUUUUUCACAGACCACAUUUUCUAAAGUAAGGAGUCACACAUAGGGUUUUUCUUUCUUAUUUUGUUUACCCUUUUAAAAAAUAAAACAAAAAUAAGUGGCGACUCCAAGUCAUUUUUUUAAUCGAUUAAAUCAUUUUUCAAAAUAAAAAUUGAGCUCGCCAUCGAGUGGGAAACGCAUUGAGCCUAAAUGCGGGGUCCACAAAAUGGCGACUCCGCUGGGGAGUUUUUUUUAGAGGGUCAAGCUUGAACUUAGAGUGAAGCAAACGUGGCAUUUGAUUGGACGAUCAGUGGAUGCUCAUCUCUUGAUUGUACAUUGGGGAUUUCUGAUGCAUGCUUAGAGGUUGUAUUCAUUUGAGUUUUUGAUAUGCUGGAUUAUUGAUGAUUGAUCUUAUUGCAUUGCUUAGCGUAUUGAUUCUGAUUUUGGCAUGAUUGUUCUGAUAACUUCACAUGCAUACACUCACCAUUGUAUAUCACUCAACUUGACAUGUUGAUUCUUUGACUUGUAUACUAUCUUGAUCGUCUUUGAGCAGGAUGUUUGUAUCACUAUUUGUCUUGAUUGUCGUAUUCUCGCUUAUCUUGUGUGUACAUGAGUGAUAUAUCCUGCUUUGCCUGACUGUAUGAUGCAUGACUGCCCUCCCUCUGCAUGAUUGCAUGUCAUCUGUCUAUGUGGGUCUCACUUCUAUCCCCCUAUCUCCAACUCUCUUGGUUUCGGUCAUUCCUUUCAUCUUGGUUCUCACUAUUGCAAGUGUGAGACCUUCUGUGUGCUUGCUCUCUGACCGAGCCAGAGAUUAGGAGUAGGGUCUGGCGACGGGCUAUAUCGAUGCACGGGAGUAUUCUGGAGGAGAGCGACACUUUGAUGUCGAUUGGAGUCCGAUCAUUGAAGACCUGUAUAGCCCCGAGCUAGGUUUCAUGGAUAGUCGUGCGACCAGUGUGUUUCCUCUUCUGCUCUAGAUUCUUAGGGUUUUCGGAUGCACCCACACCAUUCACUGUGCACUUUAGUUGACCAUUGAGCGUUGAGAGUUUGAGAGGUUUCACCAUAGCAAACCCCCUGGGAUGUCGAGGUAGUGCAUGUGUGGAGGUGAUGCCCACCUUGCAUGGAAGCGCCCCGUCUCUUCGAAGGCGUGCAGAGGGUUGCGUACCACCGGAGGGUACGAUCGCUUCUAUUAGGGAUCUUUUAAAGUCCACCUAUCUCCUUUUAGAGCCACCUUGACCUUGUAGGUUGAGCCGUAGAUCCUCCGAUUAGGACUCCCUCCCUACACGUGGGUGCGUCUGUGGGCCUUCAGAGCCGGUUCAGUAGUAACAGGUUUGGUUACCUUCGCAGUAGUCUCUUAUAUAUCUGCUCAGGAUUGGAUAUCAGUUUGUUCGCUUCCAGGCUACCUUUUGACACAUUUGAUAGACAUUCUUUGUGAAGUUUCCUUUACCCCGCACCUUAUCUAGUAUUUCCACUAUUGUAGGAGUACCGAUACGUUCAGUCUGGGUUCGACUUCUUGGAUCAGAGUUGGGGGUAGAUUGAUCAGGGUAUCAGACCAGUUAGACCAGAGAUUAGAUCAGAGGGAUAUGGAUUCACAGAUAGUUACUGUCGAUCAAUUCGCUGAGGCCAUCGCUUCGAUUCAGGAGGCUAUAGCUAGCCUUGGCCGGAGGAUAGAUGGGCAGUAGGCCCAGCAGGUCCCGCCCCCGAAUGGUGCCCAGUAUGACCAUACAAUGCCACCACCCCCUCCACCCAGUCAGUCAGCACCACAGGCCAUGCCGUUCACCCUACAUAGCCAGACCGAGGUUGCUCCGCCUCCCGUCGCCGUGCCUACCCCGACCUCAGAGGACCCACAUGCUCGCAUGGAUAGGCUUGAGCAGGGGUUGAGGCAGUUGAGGACUUCCGACAGAGCCAUUACUUGGGAGGGUUUUGAUGGAGUGUCGGUAGCCAGCUUGCCGGCUAAGUUCAGGAUGCCUGACAUUGAGAGGUAUACUGGCAUUGGUUGUCCACGCCUCCAUCUCCAAUUAUACAGCACCGUGAUGAGGGCUCAUGGACUGGACGAGCCUCAGAUGAUUACUCUUUUCCCACUAUCUUUGAGUGGGGCGGCCCAGCGUUGGUUUGCAUCUCUGGAGGCCUCGAGGCGCCGCACAUGGGACGACUUGGCCCAAGAGUUCCUACGACAGUUUUCGUUUAACGCUGUCGUAGAUGUAUCGAGGAGGGAGCUUGAGGCUUUGAGACAGAGGGCGGAGGAGUCUGUUUCUUCUUUCAUUUCCCGCUGGCGCAGGAAGAUAGCUGAGAUUAUCGAUAGACCAUCAGAGAGGGACCAGAUUCAGAUGGUUUUGAGGAGCCUGCAGCCGCGGAUCGCCAGACAUGUGGUAGGGGCCCCGUUCACAGAUUUUGGGUCUCUAGUUAUGGCUCUGUAUGAUGUCGAGGACGGCAUCUCGAGAGGUUUAUGGACAGAUUCUUCCCUUAGUGAUGUUAAGGGGAAGAAACCAUUCGUAGGACAGAGGUCGACAGAUGUUAGUGCUAUCAGUUCGUCCAGUCAAAGGCCUCCUAGGCGCCAUCAGCCGAUCCCACAGUUUCCCGAGCCUCAUUCGUCUUAUGCAUCUCAUCAGUACAGGCCACGGGCACCUCGACCAGCUUAUGAUCAGACAUAUACUCCGCAGACUUUGGCUUUGCCUUAUUAUGCCUCCCAGGGCAUUGAGAGACCCCCGGUUUCCUACACGGCUACAGGACAGCCAUGCUAUGCUGCUCAGUUCACUGCGAGACCCGCAACGCCUCAUCCCCGAACCAGAGCUCAGCAGACUUCUGCUCCUUUUGCUUUGAGGACGCAGAUGCAGUUCUCACAGAUAGGCAUGCCGUUGAGCCAGGCUCUUCGGAAGCUUACAGAGGCUGGGUUAUUGACUACUCUCACCCUUCGGCCACCGCCUCAGCCGAUUCCACCUCAGUUCAGGAUGGAUCUACACUGUGCAUACCAUCAGGGGCCUGGACAUGAGACCGAUCGAUGCACCGCUUUGAGGCAUGCCGUUCAGGAUUUGAUCGACCAGGGUUUGGUACACUUGGGUCAGCCGAGUGCGACCACGAACCCGUUGCCUGCUCACACCACACAUGCAAUCCCUCCACCAGCCGAUGGCAUUCAUUUCUUAGAGUUUGAUGAGAUCGAUGACCACAUCCACAUGCUGAGUGAUGAUGAUCCAGACCCAGAGCCCAUCAUGCCAGAUGUGAUUUAUGAGAUGAGUGGGGUGACUCUGGGUCCUCAGACGCCUGCUCCAUUCCGAUUAGUUCCCGAGGCGGCGUCAGUGCAGACUGCCACCGUUGAGCCAUUGAUUUUGCCGUGCUAUAGCGUUCAGACGCCGUUCGUCUUAGUCCCAGAUGUUGAGGAGUUUCAGGCUCCACACAGUGAUGAUCCUCAGACUUCGAACGUUCAGUAUAUCCUCCGGGGAGGGAGAGUAUUGAGACAGCCAUCUCCAGCCGCUGCUGCUAGACCCUUAGGGGGUACAUCAUCCCAGGAGGAGGUCAGAGUAGAGGAUGACGAGAUUUUGAGGCAGCUGCAGAGCACUCAGGCUCGUAUUUCUAUCUGGAGCAUUUUAGCGUCCUCCAGUACUCAUCGAGAUGCACUGACUCGAGCUUUGAGCCAGAUCAGAGUUGAUACCACGACCACUCCCGAGUGACUCAUUCAUAUGAUGACGGUCGGCAGAGCCACUUGUAUCGUCUUUUCCGAUGAUGACUUGCCGCCAGAGGGUUCAGACCACACGCGUCCGCUCUAUAUAUCUGUUGGCUUUUCAGGUCGUCGAGUUCCAUCUGUCUUUCUGGACAAUGGCUCGGCCCUGAACGUAUGUCCUCUGGCCACCGCCAUCGCUCUUGGAUAUGCACCAUCCGAUUUCGGCCCAUCCACUCAGACCGUCCGAGCUUAUGACAGCACCCGUAGAGAGGUCAUGGGUACACUGGAGAUUGAGCUCUUGAUAGGUCCGACCACAUUCAUCACUAUCUUUCAGGUUUUGAGGAUUCCUACACCCUUUAACCUGCUUUUGGGCCGACCGUGGAUUCACCGAGCUGGAGCCAUUCCUUCUUCACUUCAUCAGAAAGUGAAGUUCAUCCAUGAGGGCCAGGUAGUCGCCAUACAGUCGGCAGGGGACAUGUUCAUUUCCGCUGAGCCCGUGCUCCAGAUCAGCCAUAGCGACGACGACUUACUGCUGACCGGGUUCACUUUUGAUGAGGUGCAGACCGUGGAUAUAGAGGAUUUCUGCCGGGAUUUUAUGGCCAUGUCCUUUGACCAGCAUGGGAGCACAGUGGUGCUCGAUAUUAUGCGGAACAUGUCCUAUCUACCCGGCAUGGGGUUGGGUCGACGUCAGCAUGGACCGAGCGAGUUCAUCACCUUUCCGGACCGCGAUGUACCAUUCGGGCUCGGAUUCAUUCCCACUGAGGCCGACUAUCGUCAUAUGGCGCGGCUGCGCAGGGAGAGGGUGAGGGCUUGCUUGACUCAUACGCCCUUUUAUUAUCCUGUCCGCCCAUACACCAUGAGCCUAGCCGAUUACUUUGUGAGGCCAUCAGAGCCACAUGCACCAUCUGAUGGGAUCAUCGGAGGACUCAGCACCACUCAGGAGGCCGAGCUUCAGCGCCUCGUCCAGCAGUUACAGUUGAGUGAAGGAGCCCCUGGCCCUUCGGCUUCUAUGUUGAUUGCUCCUCCCUCCCCAGAUCGCACGAGCCUUAUGACGCUUUGCUUCCCGGAUGAGAUCGAUGAUCACGAGACUUUUGCCAAGAUUGGAGACGUUGUGGAUGGAGCCGUGCCGCGUGACGAGUACGUUGAUGAGAUGCUAGCGAUGAGCUUGAGCCAGACCGAGGAGAUAGCCCCGCCAGAGCUCGCUUCGCCAUUUGAUCUCUUCGGGGUGUUCGUCCUCGAGAUCGCCGAGGAGAUCCAGGUUGCCCCCACUCCAGAGGUCGUCGAGGAUGUUAUAGUUGCUGUUGAUUUGUUUGAUGGCCCUGUUGGCCUAGUUGAGGGAGCGUCCGACCUUGUGGACCCACCUCUCAUCUUUGAUGUUUUAUCGGGAUUUGUCUCCCGUCAUGACUAUGUUUCUGACUUUUCAUCUAUGGAUUUGAGCACCUUUGAGUAUUUGCCUGUCUCUCAUGUUAUUGAUUUAUCUGCACCAUCUUCACCCACAUCACAGAUUUUUGACAUUGAUGAUGAGAUUGCGCAGCACGACUCAGACGAUGACUCAUCUUCUGCUUCUGAUUCAGACCCCGUUGAUCAGAGAGUUUCACCUGCAGGGGACACCGAGAUUGUUGACUUUGGCACGUCAGAUCAGCCUAGGGAGUUGAGGAUCGGAUCGGAUUUGUCUACAGAUGUGAGAGAUAGCCUCAUCCAGCUACUCAGAUCCUACUUGGACGUUUUCGCAUGGUCCUAUGAGAACAUGCCAGGCCUUGAUCCAUCUAUCGUCCAGCAUCGUUUGCCACUUUUGCCCCAGACCAGACCGGUUAAACAGAAGUUGAGACGAUUGCACCCUCGUUGGAGUUUGCAGGUGAAAGAGGAGAUCCAGAAGCAGCUCAGUGUAGGAUUCUUAUCAGUGGUUGAGUACCCGGAGUGGCUGGCCAAUGUCGUCCCUGUUCCCAAGAAGGACGGCAAGGUGAGAGCCUGUGUUGAUUUCCGAGAUCUCAACAAGGCCAAUCCUAAGGAUGAUUUUCCUCUUCCACACAUCGACAUGCUAGUUGACAGUACGGCGGGUCAUUCGAUGUUGUCCUUUAUGGACGGAUUUUCCGGGUACAGUCAAAUCUUGAUGGCUCCAGAGGACAUGGAGAAGACGUUCUUCAUUACCGAGUGGGGUACUUAUUGCUAUAGAGUCAUGCCAUUCGGAUUGAAGAACACAGGAGCCACCUAUCAGAGAGCAGCGACCACCCUCUUCCAUGACAUGAUGCAUCGGGAUGUCGAGGUUUAUGUAGACGACAUGAUAGUGAAAUCCCGAGGUAGAUCAGAUCACUUGGCAGCUCUUGAGAGAUUCUUUGAGAGGAUCCGAUAGUUCAGGUUGAGACUGAAUCCCAAGAAGUGCACUUUCGGAGUGACUUCUGGGAAACUCUUGGGAUAUAUGGUCAGUGAGCGAGGCAUAGAGGUAGAUCCGGACAAGAUUAGAGCCAUUCUUGACAUGUCUGCGCCGAGGACAGAGAGAGAGGUCAGAGGCUUCCUGGGCAGACUUCAGUAUAUCAGUAGAUUCAUAGCCAGAUUGACAGACAUCUGCGAACCCAUAUUUCGACUCUUGAGGAAGAGUCAACCUACUGUUUGGGAUGACCAGUGCCAGCGUGCCUUCGAGAGGAUCAGAGAGUACUUGUUGUCACCUCCUAUUUUGGCGCCUCCUACACCAGGCCGUCCUUUGCUCUUAUACUUGUCCGUAUCAGACGUGGCCUUGGGUUGCAUGUUAGCUCAGCUCGAUGAUUCGGGCAAGGAUCGAGCCAUUUACUAUUUGAGUAAGAGGAUGUUAGACUACGAGACGAGGUAUGUCAUGAUUGAGCGUUAUUGUUUGGCAUUGGUUUGGGCCACUCGGCGGUUGAGACAUUACAUGACCGAGUAUUCCGUGCAUUUGAUAUCCCGUCUAGAUCCUCUGAGAUAUUUGUUUGAUAGACCCGCUCUGGUUGGUCGCCUCAUGAGAUGGUUGGUACUUCUAACUGAGUUUGACAUCCAUUAUGUCACUCAGAAGUCCAUCAGAGGGAGCAUUGUAGCAGAUCAUCUAGCCUCAUUACCAGUUUCUGAUGCCAGAGCUAUUGACGAUGAUUUUCCAGACAAGGAUGUCGCUGUUGUGACUAGUCUGUCGGGGUGGCGCAUGUACUUCGAUGGUGCGGCCAACCAUUCUGGAUAUGGGAUAGGCGUCUUGUUGAUAUCCCCUCACGGUGAUCACAUUCCCAGAUCAGUUCGUUUGGCAUUCUCGGAUCGACAUCCUGCCACGAACAACAUUGUUGAGUAUGAGGCUUGUAUCUUGGGAUUAGAGACGGCCCUCGAGCUCGGGAUUAGACAGAUGGAGGUGUUUGGUGACUCCAAUCUGGUAUUGAGACAGAUUCAGGGCGAGUGGAAGACUAGAGAUGUGAAGCUUAAGCCUUAUCAUGCAUAUUUGGAGCUACUGGUUGGGAGAUUUGAUGAUUUGAGAUAUACCCAUCUGCCUAGAGCGCAGAACCAAUUUGCUGAUGCUUUAGCUACUCUAGCUUCCAUGAUCGAUAUUCCCGUUGAUGCCACUGUUCGACCUCUGUUGAUCGAGUCGAGAUCUGCUCCUGCUUACUGUUGCCUGAUCGAUGAUGUAGAGCUAGAUGAUGGUUUGCCAUGGUAUCACGACAUAUAUCACUUUUUGAGACUCGACGUAUAUCCUGAGGCCGCCACGGCCAAGGAUAAGAGAGCAUUGAGACAGUUGGCCACUCGAUUCGUGAUUUGCGGUGAGACAUUGUACAUGCGAUCGCCUGACGGGAUGCUAUUAUUGUGUUUGGACCGCGCCUCUGCCGAUCGGGUGAUGAGAGAGGUUCAUGCGGGAGUCUGCGGACCACAUAUGAGAGGACAUAUGUUGGCUCGUAAGAUCAUGAGGACAGGAUACUUCUGGUUGACCAUGGAGACAGAUUGCUGCCAGUUUGUUCAGAGGUGUCCCGAGUGUCAGAUACACGGAGAUCUCAUUCACGUGCCGCCCUCCGAGCUGCACGCACUAACUUCACCAUGGCCAUUUUCCGUCUGGGGUAUUGAUAUCAUCGGGAAGAUUUCACCGAAAUCUUCUAGUGGUCAUGAGUUUAUCCUGGUCGCCAUCGAUUACUUCACCAAGUGGGUGGAGGCCGCCUCAUAUGCGAGAUUGACAUCAGCUGGAGUUGCUAGUUUUAUCAGAUCACACAUUAUCUGUCGCUAUGGAGUCCCCCAUGAGUUGAUUUCGGAUAGAGGGGUACAUUUCAGAGCAGAGGUUGACACCUUAGUACAGAGAUACAGCAUCCGGCAUCAUAGAUCGUCUGCGUACAGGCCGCAGACGAAUGGGGCAGUAGAGGCCGCGAAUAAGAAUAUCAAUAGGAUAUUACGGAGGAUGGUCGAGACUUCUCGGGAUUGGUCAGAGAAGCUCCCAUUUGCAUUGUGGGCUUAUCGGACUUAUUUUCUCACCUCUACAGGCGCCACACGCUACUCCUUGGUAUAUGGCAUGGAGGCGAUGCUACCCGUUGAGAUUGAGAUGGGUUCGUUGAGAGUAGCACUAGAGCAGCAGAUUCCUGAGGCCGAUUGGGCUCAGGCUCGAUUUGAUCAGCUCAAUCUCCUAGAUGAGAGGAGAUUGAGAGCAGCAGACCAUGUUCGUGCGUAUCAGAGGAAGAUGGCCUGCGCUUUCAAAAAGCGGGUCAAGCCCAGACCAUUACGGAUAGGUGACUUGGUUCUGAAAGUCAUCAGGGGAUUGAUCAGAGAUCCUAGAGGGAAGUUCAAACCCAACUGGAGCGGACCUUAUUUCAUCAGGGAGUUGACCCCAGAGGGCGCUGCAUGGUUGAUGGAUUUAGAUGGAAACCGAUUCUUAGAGCCAACCAAUGUGGAUCAGCUAAAGAGGUACUAUGUCUGAGACCAUGGUCGUAGGAUGGGUGGCCGUCAUUUCGGUUAGCCAUUACCUUGUAAUUCCUUUGUGAUACAUAGUCCGUUGCUAGCCCAUUGAGCCUCGCAUGCGCAUUAUUGCCUUUCUUUCUUAUCGCCUUGCUCACAUUUUCACACCGGGAUAGGGGCCCUUUAAUGUAUGCAUGCAUUGUUUGGUAGUUUCAUGAGCCUUGGACCUAGGGGCAUGUUUUUCUCAUCAUCUUUUCCUAUCACUGCACCUCUGCAUUUUCAUCUCAUCUUAUUGGUUGUGUUAUUCAUCUCUUCUUCUUUAUCCUAUCUACUAUUUGUUUGUCUCAUAUUCUCUCCACCCUGAGUGGUGAGCCUCCUCAAUUCAUCACAUGGAGGAUAGUCACAUCAUUUCCACCAUCUAUCUCACGGACAUUGGUUUAGAGAUCCUUAGUUUGAGAAGGUCAUCUCGUUAGAGAGAGUUUUGGGUUGCCUUAUCACUUGGGGGUGUGUUCAUUUGUUAUCGAUAUCAUCUUUGGGGUUCAUUUGUUCACGUUCAGGGUACGCAUAUUUGUAUAUAUGUAAAAAAAAAAAAAAAAAAUCAUUAUUAUUAUUAUUAGCACA